ACUUGACGAACUUGUUCAUUCGCUGGAAGGAGUCAACUGCCAGUGAUCGAAGGGUUACCAUUGGUUCAAUCGCAACCUCAACCACCUUCAAUUUUAGACAGUAUGGGUAGGCGCAAACAACUACAUAUCACUUCUACGGACAACAGUAAAAUGCAAGAUUAUCCAUCAAAUUCUCAUGAUGCACAAGGUAAUGUGUACAUGGAAGCUAGACCAGCGAGGAUUCAGGAGAACAAAAAAAGACUACGAGAAUUAGGAGUUAAAAACGUUGUGGACUCUAUGACAAGUUUAGUAGACAGUAAC
This is a long non-coding RNA of Helianthus annuus (common sunflower), 300 nucleotides long. RefSeq lists it as uncharacterized. The transcript has 3 exons. Lineage: Eukaryota; Viridiplantae; Streptophyta; Magnoliopsida; Asterales; Asteraceae. The record is from RefSeq and is a predicted model, not a curated record.